This 1196-nucleotide long non-coding RNA is filed under the name Callithrix jacchus (white-tufted-ear marmoset). RNAcentral describes it as "lncRNA (ENSCJAG00000072054.1)". The record is from RNAcentral. Lineage: Eukaryota; Metazoa; Chordata; Mammalia; Primates; Cebidae.
CUAAUUACUGUCCUUUAUCUUAAUGUCAUAUAGAAACAUUAUGUAUAUACUCAAAUGCAGUAGAGAAAACGCUACUUAAAACAAUUCAAAAUUAUUUUGCAAAUAAAAAGUUACUAGGCAAUGGGAACAAUUUUCACCUACUGCAUCUGUCAGUGUUUGAAUUGUUGUAUUUGAAUUUCUUUGUACCAUCUCGAAAUUUCUGAGGACAGAUCAUACCUGAUACCUCUUUUUUUAAUAAGAUUUUACAACAGCUUCACUCAUUGAUAUCGUGGUCACAACACUGGCCACUGAAAACGAUGCAUCAACAUCUAACUCUAACACAUCUGAUGACCCGAGACUUGAUUAUAAGCCUGAUGGCACUGAUUUCACCUCUGCGGCCUCCUAUAUAUCACCUGCUGCCAUACAGCCCUCCACCUCCACAGAUGUUUCCUCUGCCACACCAUCUGCCACCACCGCUGUCCUUAUUUCUCUUCCUACAAUAACAUCUGCUUCACCUAUCGAAGACAUUGCCACCACCACGCCUCCUGCCCUAAGCACAUUCUCUCCUUCCAGCGCCGCUCAUUCUGCCACCUCCACAGCUGAGGUCUCCACCACACUUGCUAGGGUGUGCUUUGGUAGUCGAAUGUAGUACAGCAGAAGCAGUACUGGAAGAGGAAGUCAGAUCUGUGAUGAUUUCACGGAUGAUCAUUGUGGAUGUUUCUGUGCUAAGGGCAGCAGAAAUAGCAGAAGUCAUAAACAAAGAAUCUGUGGUGGUGUCUUCUAAGGUUGCAGAGGUGGAAGUAGUCAUUUUCAUGGCAGCUGUGGCCACAAUGGCAGGGUUAGUGUUAGCAGCCUCUGAAGUGAUAGAUGUAGGGUUGGAUGUCAUUGUCAAUGUAGAGACAGAUGGAGAAGCAGUGGAAGGGCUAGUGAAAGCCUGUGCUGUCAUGGAGGCAGCUGCAGUGUCCACAGCAGUGGAGGUGGUACUAGUGGCAGCGGACAUGUUAGGGAGAGUAGAUUUGGUGAUGGAGUUAGAAGCUGUUGAAAGAGUAGUGGUGGAAGGAGCCAAAGCAGUUGAAACCACAGAUGUGGUAGACACAUCCACUGUACUGGAGGCAGCUUCCUUGAUGAGAGGGGUUGAAGUGAUUCUGGGGGCAGAUGUGACUGGAGCAGCUGUUGUGGCAGCAGGGUCUUUUACUCUGUCACCCAGGCUGGAGUGA